RNAcentral lists this ribosomal RNA (497 nucleotides) under uncultured bacterium. RNAcentral's name for it is "partial 16S ribosomal RNA". It matches the Rfam family "Bacterial small subunit ribosomal RNA", at positions 28 to 507 of the family's 1533-position model. The record is from RNAcentral.
GAUGAACGCUGGCGGCGUGCCUAAUACAUGCAAGUCGAGCGAACAGACGAGGAGCUUGCUCCUCUGACGUUAGCGGCGGACGGGUGAGUAAAACGUGGAUAACCUACCUAUAAGACUGGGAUAACUUCGGGAAACCGGAGCUAAUACCGGAUAAUAUAUUGAACCGCAUGGUUCAAUAGUGAAAGACGGUUUUGCUGUCACUUAUAGAUGGAUCCGCGCAGCAUUAGCUAGUUGGUAAGGUAACGGCUUACCAAGGCAACGAUGCGUAGCCGACCUGAGAGGGUGAUCGGCCACACUGGAACUGAGACACGGUCCAGACUCCUACGGGAGGCAGCAGUAGGGAAUCUUCCGCAAUGGGCGAAAGCCUGACGGAGCAACGCCGCGUGAGUGAUGAAGGUCUUCGGAUCGUAAAACUCUGUUAUUAGGGAAGAACAAAUGUGUAAGUAACUAUGCACGUCUUGACGGUACCUAAUCAGAAAGCCACGGCUAACUACGUG